This 1465-nucleotide long non-coding RNA is filed under the name Homo sapiens (human). Its description in RNAcentral is "HSALNT0246459". Lineage: Eukaryota; Metazoa; Chordata; Mammalia; Primates; Hominidae. The record is from RNAcentral.
GGGGAGGGCGCGGGCUGCGGGGCUGCGGGGAGGGAGGGGCGGGUUCAGGGCUGUGGGCCCCGCCCGGGGCACCGCCUGGAUCAGGCCUGAGGCCGGCUGCAGAGAACUUGGGCACCGCGGACCAGAUUGCUGGUCACCAGGAUGAAAAAUAAAAAAGACCCAAACAGCUCCCCCGACCCCGCCUUCGCGCAGGCCCCUGGCGUUCUGCUCAGGGGUUUUUGUUUAAUGAAGAACGUCAAACAUCUGGCAAGGUCGGAAUGAUUUUGCGAUGAGCACCGCCUGGAUUCUGCGGUGAAAGCGACUGUGUGCGCGCUCACGGCCUCGCCUGUCCCUGCAUCAGCCCAUCUCGUCAGGCAGAUCAACAUGAAGCUGUAAAACGGAUGACUUAGGCCGGGCGUCGUGAUGGGCGCCUGUAAUCCCAGCUACUCGGGAGGCUGAGGCAGGAAAACCGCUUGAACCUGGGAGGCGGAGGUUGCAGUGAACCGCGGUUGCACCACUACACUCCAGCCUGGGAGACAGAGCGAGACUCCGUCUCAAAAUAAAUAAAUAAAACAUAUGACUUAGGUAUAUACGCAUGGGGGGAAUCCUCGUAAGGCAAGAACGUGCUGCACAUUCUGGGGACUGGGACAGGAUAAGCACACGAGUAGAUCUAAGUCACUGGAAAUACCUGGUUUUGCUGUUGGAGGGGGGCUUGCAGGUGCUCGUUAUAUUAUUACGCUGUUGUAGUAAAACGAUGUUAGUUACAGUAUUAAAUUGCAAAUGUCAGUAUCCAUCACCGCCAAAACAGCGUGCAUACCACUAGCAUAUGAUUUUUGUAGUUUUUUAAUGUUAAGUUUGUAAUGAAGUGCACAAACUUAAUUAUACAUUGGCUGAGGUUAUUUGUUUUAAAGGCAGUACUUGCUCUAUGGCCCAGGCUGGAGUGCAGUGCGUGAUCAUGGCUCACUGUAACCUCAAAUUCUUGGCCUCAAGCGAUCCUCCUGCCUCACCCUCCUGAAAGGACUGGGAUUACAGGCGUGAGCCACCAUGCCCAGCCUCCUUUUGCUGAGUUUUAACAAAUACAGUAGUGUAACCGAAGAUGCCAUCAAGACAAAUAGAACACGUCCCUCACCCCAGAAAAUUCUCUUAUGCCCCUUUCCAUUCUAUGUCCACUGCUACCAUGCCACCUGUGCUGAUUUCUCCACUAUGCUUCCGCCUGUUCUAAGAGUUCAUACUAAUGGAUCAUUGGGUACAUGUCCUUGUGUAAGGCGUCUUUCCCUUAGCGUCAUGUUUCUGGAGAUUCUUCUGUGUUGUUUCAUGUCUCAGGAGUUUGUUCUUUUGAUUGCCAAGCAGUCCAGUGUAAACACACCGGUGUGUUUAUCUGCUGUAUUCAUGGACACUUGGAGCUGUGUCUGGCUAUUGGCGAUCACGAAUAAAGUUGCUGUUGACUUUCUUUUUGAAGUCUUUGUGUGGACAUGUUUUUAUUUCU